RNAcentral lists this small RNA (171 nucleotides) under Erwinia rhapontici. RNAcentral describes it as "SraG RNA". It matches the Rfam family "SraG RNA". Rfam says of the family: This RNA was discovered in E. coli during a large scale screen. Evidence was found for specific cleavage of this RNA. Lineage: Bacteria; Pseudomonadati; Pseudomonadota; Gammaproteobacteria; Enterobacterales; Erwiniaceae. The record is from RNAcentral.
CUUCAUUCUUGCAUCCUCGCGACUAAUGACAACCCUGAUCCCAGAUGGGAUAAAGCCUCUCAUUAGCCGCGCGAACCUCUGCAACUGAAGAUCACACUCACCAACAAUACAAUAGUUUGCGUUUAAUUGCUGCCGCUUGCUUGAAAAAAGGGGCCAUAAAGGCCCCUUUCC